RNAcentral lists this ribosomal RNA (410 nucleotides) under uncultured bacterium. RNAcentral's name for it is "bacterial SSU rRNA". It matches the Rfam family "Bacterial small subunit ribosomal RNA", at positions 354 to 776 of the family's 1533-position model. RNAcentral also lists the same sequence under 1 other name. The record is from RNAcentral.
GUGGGGAAUAUUGCGCAAUGGGCGAAAGCCUGACGCAGCGACGCCGCGUGAGGGACGAAGGCCUUCGGGUCGUAAACCUCUUUCAGCAGGGACGAAGCGCAAGUGACGGUACCUGCAGAAGAAGCACCGGCUAACUACGUGCCAGCAGCCGCGGUAAUACGUAGGGUGCAAGCGUUGUCCGGAAUUAUUGGGCGUAAAGAGCUCGUAGGCGGCUUGUCACGUCUGCUGUGAAAACUCGGGGCUCAACCCCGAGCCUGCAGUGGAUACGGGCUAGCUAGAGUGCGGUAGGGGAGACUGGAAUUCCUGGUGUAGCGGUGAAAUGCGCAGAUAUCAGGAGGAACACCGGUGGCGAAGGCGGGUCUCUGGACCGAUACUGACGCUGAGGAGCGAAAGCGUGGGGAGCGAACAGG